RNAcentral lists this ribosomal RNA (463 nucleotides) under uncultured Glomus. RNAcentral describes it as "SSU rRNA". It matches the Rfam family "Eukaryotic small subunit ribosomal RNA", at positions 624 to 1088 of the family's 1831-position model. Lineage: Eukaryota; Fungi; Glomeromycota; Glomeromycetes; Glomerales; Glomeraceae. The record is from RNAcentral.
AAGCUCGUAGUUGAACCUCGGGAUCAAUGGGUCGGUCAUGCCAAUGGUAUGUACUGGCCUCAUUGGUUCUCACCUUCUAAGGAACCAUGAUGUCAUUCAUUUGAUGUUGUGGGGAAUUAGGACUGUUACCUUGAAAAAAUUAGAGUGUUUAAAGCAGGCUAACGCUUGAAUACAUUAGCAUGGAAUAAUGAAAUAGGACAUCGCAUUCUAUUUUGUUGGUUUCUAGGAUCGAUGUAAUGAUUAAUAGGGAUAGUUGGGGGCAUUAGUAUUCAAUUGUCAGAGGUGAAAUUCUUGGAUUUAUUGAAGACUAACUACUGCGAAAGCAUUUGCCAAGGAUGUUUUCAUUAAUCAAGAACGAAAGUUAGGGGAUCGAAGACGAUCAGAUACCGUCGUAGUCUUAACCAUAAACUAUGCCGACUAGGGAUCGGAUGAUGUUGAUUUUUUAAUGACUCAUUCGGCACCU